RNAcentral lists this ribosomal RNA (543 nucleotides) under uncultured bacterium. Its description in RNAcentral is "bacterial SSU rRNA". It matches the Rfam family "Bacterial small subunit ribosomal RNA", at positions 361 to 896 of the family's 1533-position model. The record is from RNAcentral.
AUAUUGCACAAUGGGCGCAAGCUGAUGCAGCCAUGCCGCGUGUGUGAAGAAGGCUCUAGGGUUGUAAAGCACUUUCAGCGAGGAGGAAAGGUUAUUGGUUAAUACCCAAUAGCUGUGACGUUACUCGCAGAAGAAGCACCGGCUAACUCCGUGCCAGCAGCCGCGGUAAUACGGAGGGUGCGAGCGUUAAUCGGAAUUACUGGGCGUAAAGCGUGCGUAGGCGGCUACUUAAGUGGGAUGUGAAAGCCCCGGGCUCAACCUGGGAACUGCACCCCAAACUGGGUAGCUAGAGUGCGAGAGAGGAGUGUGGAAUUUCCUGUGUAGCGGUGAAAUGCGUAGAUAUAGGAAGGAACACCAGUGGCGAAGGCGACACUCUGGCUUGACACUGACGCUGAGGUACGAAAGCGUGGGGAGCAAACAGGAUUAGAUACCCUGGUAGUCCACGCCGUAAACGAUGUCGACUAGUUGUUGGAAGUCUUAGUACUUUUGGUGACGAAGCUAACGCGAUAAGUCGACCGCCUGGGGAGUACGGCCGCAAGGUUA